This 281-nucleotide ribosomal RNA is filed under the name Coprococcus comes ATCC 27758. RNAcentral's name for it is "partial 16S ribosomal RNA". It matches the Rfam family "Bacterial small subunit ribosomal RNA", at positions 524 to 805 of the family's 1533-position model. The record is from RNAcentral. Lineage: Bacteria; Bacillati; Bacillota; Clostridia; Lachnospirales; Lachnospiraceae.
UACGUAUGGUGCAAGCGUUAUCCGGAUUUACUGGGUGUAAAGGGAGCGUAGACGGCUGUGUAAGUCUGAAGUGAAAGCCCGGGGCUCAACCCCGGGACUGCUUUGGAAACUAUGCAGCUAGAGUGUCGGAGAGGUAAGUGGAAUUCCCAGUGUAGCGGUGAAAUGCGUAGAUAUUGGGAGGAACACCAGUGGCGAAGGCGGCUUACUGGACGAUGACUGACGUUGAGGCUCGAAAGCGUGGGGAGCAAACAGGAUUAGAUACCCUUGUAGGCUGACUGACU